This 1339-nucleotide ribosomal RNA is filed under the name Ophiostoma piliferum. RNAcentral's name for it is "SSU rRNA". It matches the Rfam family "Bacterial small subunit ribosomal RNA". Lineage: Eukaryota; Fungi; Ascomycota; Sordariomycetes; Ophiostomatales; Ophiostomataceae. The record is from RNAcentral.
AGUGGUGAACAGGUGAGUAGUAAUUAAUAACCUACCUUAAGGCAGGGGUAAAUCCCCUUUAUAUAGAAAGGUAAUUACCGUCUUAAGAAGAAUCGUUAAUUUAAAGAAAUAGGUAGUUGUUAAGGUAAUUACUUAACAAGCCAAUUAUUUUCUUAGUCGUAACUGAAAGGUUGAUCGAUCACAUUGGGAAUGAGAAAAGCCCAAGACAAAUGAGUACAGCAGUGGGGAAUAUUAGUCAAUGGCCUAACGGCUGAACCGGCAACUUGGAGGAAUGGCCUAAAUUAAAGUGAAAUUGGUUAAAUUUUUCUUUUAAAAAUAAAAUUCUGAUUGUAUAUAAUAUAAUGACUAUAUAUUUUUAUGUCUUGACUAAUUACGUGCCAGCAGUCGCGGUAAUACGUAAGAGACUAGUGUUAUUCAUCUUUAAUAGGUUUAAAGGGUACUCAAACGGAAGAAAUUAACUAAAUAAGGUACUAUUUCUAUCUAGAGUUAUAUAAAAAAAGGUCGAACAUUUGGAGUAGGUAUGAAAACCUUUAAAUACCUAUCUUGACGGGUAAGGCGAAGGCAACCUUUUUAUAAAAUAACUGACGUUGAAGGACGAAGGCUAAGGAAGCGAAAAGGAUUAGAUACCCUUGUAGUCUUAGCAGAAAAUUAUGAAUGCUACUUAUUAAAAUUAUUUAAUUCGUAAAUGAAAAUUUAAGCAUUUCACCUCACGAGUAAUGUGGCAACGCAGGAACUGAAAUCACUAGACCGUUUUAGACACCAGUAGUGAAGUAUGUUAUUUAAUUCGACAAUCCGCGAAAAACCUUACCACAAUCUGAAUUAUUUGUAUAUUCUGUUUUACACAAAUAUAAAUAACGAGUGUUGCACGGCUGUCUUCAGUUGAUGUUGCGAAACUAUGGCUUAAGCCAUGAAAUUGACCAAAACCUUUACUUUAUUUAUUAAUAUAUAUUUUAUAAAGUAUUUCAUCUUGACAAUAGAUGUUACGUUAGGGACCAAGAUAAGUCAUCAUGACCUCUAUAUUGUGGGCUAUAGACGUGCCACAUUUUCCUAGACAAAAAGAUGCAAAAAUGCAAAUUUAAGCUAAUCUAAAAAAUAGGAUAAAAAAGGAUAUGGAUUAUAGUCUGAAAUUCGACUAUAUGAAUAAGUAAUUACUAGUAAUCGUGAAUCACCAUCGUCACGGUGAAUUUUCUAUCUCAUUGGUACUAACUACUCGUCGCAUGCUGAAAAGUGUACUUACAAAAAGUUUGCUUGUUUAUUAUAAGUAAGUAAAUAAUAGGUUUUAGAUGUUAUAAUAGAUUUCUUCGUAUGUGUGUAUCUGAUUAGUGUUAAGUCGAAAUAC